GUGCUCACUUCGACAGCACAUACACUAAAACUGAAAUGACGCAGAGAAGAUUAGUAUGUCCCUGCAAUAGAUGACUCGCAAGUUCAUGAAGGGCUCCAUAUUUUU
Chionomys nivalis (European snow vole) is the source of this 105-nucleotide small nuclear RNA. The record is from RefSeq and is a predicted model, not a curated record. NCBI's taxonomy places the organism in Eukaryota, Metazoa, Chordata, Mammalia, Rodentia, Cricetidae.